Molecule: small nucleolar RNA, 68 nt
Filed under: Schizosaccharomyces japonicus yFS275
Lineage: Eukaryota; Fungi; Ascomycota; Schizosaccharomycetes; Schizosaccharomycetales; Schizosaccharomycetaceae
Description: small nucleolar RNA SNORD24
Rfam family: Small nucleolar RNA SNORD24
About the family: U24 is a member of the C/D class of snoRNA which contain the C (UGAUGA) and D (CUGA) box motifs. C/D box snoRNAs have been shown to act as methylation guides for a number of RNA targets.
Source: Rfam by way of RNAcentral
UUCAUGUGAUGAGUUAUUUGCUUAUGAAUUUGUGAUUACACUUUUAUUCACCAAGAUCGCUGAAUGAA